Molecule: ribosomal RNA, 292 nt
Filed under: uncultured bacterium
Lineage: Bacteria
Description: partial 16S ribosomal RNA
Rfam family: Bacterial small subunit ribosomal RNA
Source: RNAcentral
GUGUCAGCCGCCGCGGUAAUACGUAGGGGGCAAGCGUUGUCCGGAUUUAUUGGGCGUAAAGAGCGUGUAGGCGGCUAAGUAGGUCCGUUGUGAAAACUCGAGGCUCAACCUCGAGCUGUCGAUGGAAACCACCUAGCUAGAGUCCGGAAGAGGAGAGUGGAAUUCCUGGUGUAGCGGUGAAAUGCGCAGAUAUCAGGAAGAACACCCGUGGCGAAGGCGGCUCUCUGGUACGUGACUGACGCUGAGACGCGAAAGCGUGGGGAGCGAACAGGAUUAGAAACCCCAGUAGUCC